Molecule: long non-coding RNA, 717 nt
Organism: Acanthaster planci (crown-of-thorns starfish)
Lineage: Eukaryota; Metazoa; Echinodermata; Asteroidea; Valvatida; Acanthasteridae
Source: RefSeq, a predicted model, not a curated record
UUUUAAAAGAGAUGCACGGGUGCGUGUUGCCUAAGAUUUUUCUUAGUAUUUUCAAACUUUUGCUGCCCUUGUUGAAUCUUUUCAAUCACGGUUUAUACAGCACUCCAGCAGGACAACUGAUAGAACGUCAAGACACCUACUCAGUGCUAGAAUGGAAAAAUAGCCAUGAUGUGCAAGUGUCUCUGUAAUGCACAGUUGAUCAGUGUCACAGAACCAGCUUUGCAAGAACUCUUGCCACAGUGUUGACGUACAUGUACAUGUAUCAACAUUCAAGAAGGAAUUCUUCAGAGACACUGGUGGAGUCACUGCAGCCCAAUGCAACCAGUUGCCUGAGGUCGCUACAAGUUGCUGAAGGUCACUCUUGGCCCAAAAUGUCACCUGACUUAAGAGAUAUGCAUGACAGUUGCUUGAUGUGACUACAGGUCCCUGACUACCACUACUGAUUUACCAUUGUGGAUUAUGGACACUUUGUUUCUGCACCCAGCAUCGAUUGCCACUCCACAGUUUGGACAUUGAAUAGUAUGAACAUGCACAUUUUGAAGCAAACUAAAUAGGGCAGACAUUCAGACCCUUUGUCCUGCUUGUCCUACAAGUUUGCCAACAGGAAACAGUCAUUUGUUGCCUGCAGUACUGAUGGACCAUCCCUGUUUUGCUGCCAGUGGCAGGACACUCAGAAGUGGACAUGAUAAAGGAAUCAACUUGAUUUGCAUAGGCAGA